GAUGAACGCUAGCGGCAGGCUUAAUACAUGCAAGUCGAGGGGCAGCAGCUUUAUAGCAAUAUAGAGGCUGGCGACCGGCAAACGGGUGCGGAACACGUACACAACCUUCCUUUAAGAGGGGGAUAGCCCAUAGAAAUGUGGAUUAAUACCCCGUAACAUAUCGGUGUGGCAUCACACUGUUAUUAUAGCUUCGACGCUUGAAGAUGGGUGUGCGGCUGAUUAGGUAGUUGGCGGGGUAAAGGCCCACCAAGCCUUCGAUCAGUAGCUGAUGUGAGAGCGUGAUCAGCCAAACGGGCACUGAGACACGGGCCCGACUCCUACGGGAGGCAGCAGUAAGGAAUAUUGGUCAAUGGACGCAAGUCUGAACCAGCCAUGCCGCGUGAAGGAUGAAGGUCCUCUGGAUUGUAAACUUCUUUUAUAGGGGGCGAAAAAAGGGAAUUCUUUCUCACUUGACAGUACCCUAUGAAUAAGCACCGGCUAACUCCGUGCCAGCCGCCGCCGUAA
This 504-nucleotide ribosomal RNA is filed under the name uncultured bacterium. RNAcentral's name for it is "partial 16S ribosomal RNA". It matches the Rfam family "Bacterial small subunit ribosomal RNA", at positions 28 to 523 of the family's 1533-position model. The record is from RNAcentral.